UUUCUGAAGUGCAUGAGUUUGAGAAACCAAAUGACGUGAAAGCAUUAGAGUUAAUGAACGAGUGUGCCAUUGCUGUUAUGGAGCAGUUUCCAGAUGUUAUAUUCUCGUAUGGUUGCGCUGGUGAGCACAGUUUCAUAUUCCAAAAGAAAACCAAGUUCUACAAGCGGCGCAGCAGCAAGAUAAGCUCUGUAUUGUGUCUUUAUUU
Long non-coding RNA from Salvia splendens (bonfire salvia), 205 nucleotides. RefSeq lists it as uncharacterized. The record is from RefSeq and is a predicted model, not a curated record. The transcript has 3 exons. NCBI's taxonomy places the organism in Eukaryota, Viridiplantae, Streptophyta, Magnoliopsida, Lamiales, Lamiaceae.